RNAcentral lists this ribosomal RNA (396 nucleotides) under uncultured bacterium. RNAcentral's name for it is "partial 16S ribosomal RNA". It matches the Rfam family "Bacterial small subunit ribosomal RNA", at positions 523 to 918 of the family's 1533-position model. The record is from RNAcentral.
AUACGUAGGGGGCGCGCGUUGUCCGGAAUGAUUGGGCGUAAAGGGCGCGUAGGCGGCCUGUUAAGUCUGGAGUGAAAGUCCUGUUUUCAAGAUGGGAAUUGCUUUGGAUACUGAUGAGCUUGAGUGCAGGAGAGGUUAUCGGAAUUCCCGGUGUAGCGGUGAAAUGCGUAGAGAUCGGGAGGAACACCAGUGGCGAAGGCGGCCUGCUGGACGACAACUGACGCUGAGGCGCGAAAGCGUGGGGAGCAAACAGGAUUAGAUACCCUGGUAGUCCACGCUGUAAACGAUGAAUACUAGGUGUGGGGGGACUGACCCCCUCCGUGCCGCAGUUAACACAAUAAGUAUUCCACCUGGGGAGUACGAUCGCAAGAUUGAAACUCAAAGGAAUUGGCGGGG